RNAcentral lists this ribosomal RNA (119 nucleotides) under Pteropus alecto (black flying fox). Lineage: Eukaryota; Metazoa; Chordata; Mammalia; Chiroptera; Pteropodidae. The record is from RNAcentral.
GUCUAUGGCCAUGCUACCCUGAACAAGCCCAAUCCCAUCUGAUCUCAGAAGCUAAGCAAGAUUGGGCCUCGUUUGUACUUGGAUGGGAGACCACCUAGAAAGACCAGGUACUGUAGGCG